RNAcentral lists this ribosomal RNA (478 nucleotides) under uncultured bacterium. Its description in RNAcentral is "partial 16S ribosomal RNA". It matches the Rfam family "Bacterial small subunit ribosomal RNA", at positions 28 to 507 of the family's 1533-position model. The record is from RNAcentral.
GACGAACGCUGGUGGCGUGCUUAACACAUGCAAGUCGAACGGGAUUUAGUAAACAUUAGCCUCGGUGGAAGAUUACUAAUGAGAGUGGCGAACGGGUGAUUAACUCUUUAUCAACCUGCCUAUGACAGUGGGAUAGCCUCCUGAAACCAGGAUUAAUACCGCAUAACAUCGUACAAACACAUGUUUUAACUUUCAUAUAUUUAUCGGUCAUAUAUGGGCUCGCAUCUGUUUAGCUUGUUGUUGAGAUAAACGCCCACCAAGGCGACGAUCAGUAGCCGGUCUGAGAGGAAGAACGGACACAUUGAAACUGAGACACAGUACAAAAUCCUACGGGAGGCCGCAGUGGGGAAUAUAGCAAAAUGGGGGAAAACAUGAAGCAGCGAGGACGCGAGAACGAAGAAGGUAUUAGUAUAGAAAAGUUCAGUCAAAUGGGAAGAUAAUGACAGUACCAAAGAAGAAAGCUCCGGCUAAAUACGUG